This 453-nucleotide ribosomal RNA is filed under the name uncultured Alphaproteobacteria bacterium. RNAcentral's name for it is "bacterial SSU rRNA". It matches the Rfam family "Bacterial small subunit ribosomal RNA", at positions 1072 to 1532 of the family's 1533-position model. The record is from RNAcentral. Lineage: Bacteria; Pseudomonadati; Pseudomonadota; Alphaproteobacteria.
GAGAGUGGGUAGUCCGCACGAGCGCACCUCAUCUUUAUUGCCAUCAGUUCGGCUGGGCACUCUAGAGAAACUGCCUGGGAUGACCAGGAGGAAGGCGGGGAUGACGUCAAGUCCUCAUGGCCCUUAUGGGCUGGGCUAGACACGUGCUACAAUGGCGGUAACAGAGGGAUGCAAUACGGCAACGUGGAGCAAAUCCCCAAAAACCGUCUCAGUUCGGAUUGUUCUCUGCAACUCGAGAGCAUGAAGUUGGAAUCGCUAGUAAUCGUGAAUCAGAAUGUCACGGUGAAUACGUUCCCGGGCCUUGUACACACCGCCCGUCACACCAUGGGAGUAGGUUGCAAAAGAAGUAGCUAGGCUAACCUUCGGGAGGCCGGUUACCACUUUGUGAUUUAUGACUGGGGUGAAGUCGUAACAAGGUAGCCCUAGGGGAACCUGGGGCUGGAUCACCUCCUU